Molecule: ribosomal RNA, 427 nt
Filed under: uncultured Sandaracinus sp.
Lineage: Bacteria; Pseudomonadati; Myxococcota; Polyangiales; Sandaracinaceae
Description: bacterial SSU rRNA
Rfam family: Bacterial small subunit ribosomal RNA
Source: RNAcentral
UGGGGAAUAUUGGUCAAUGGGCGCAAGCCUGAACCAGCCACGCCGCGUGAGUGAUGAAGGCCUUCGGGUUGUAAAGCUCUGUGGGGAGGGAAGAAAACGGCAGGUAAGAAACGACCUGUCCUUGACGGUACCUCCUUAGCAAGCACCGGCUAACUCUGUGCCAGCAGCCGCGGUAAUACAGAGGGUGCGAACGUUGCUCGGAAUUACUGGGCGUAAAGCGCAUGUAGGCGGGUCGGCAAGUCAGAUGUGAAAUCCCCGGGCUCAACCCGGGAACUGCAUCUGAAACUGCUGGUCUUGAGUACUGGAGAGGGUGGCGGAAUUCCUGGUGUAGAGGUGAAAUUCGUAGAUAUCAGGAGGAACACCGGUGGCGAAGGCGGCCACCUGGACAGUAACUGACGCUGAGAUGCGAAAGCGUGGGGAGCAAACA